AUGGGCCCGCGGCGCAUUAGCUAGUUGGUGGGUACGGCUCACCAAGGCGACGAUGCGUAGCCGACCUGAGAGGGUGAUCGGCCACACUGGGACUGAGACACGGCCCAGACUCCUACGGGAGGCAGCAGUAGGGAAUCUUCCACAAUGGGCGAAAGCCUGACGGAGCAACGCCGCGUGAGUGAUGAAGGUUUUCGGAUCGUAAAGCUCUGUUGCCAGGGAAGAACAUCCGCGGAGUAACUGCUGGCGGAUUGACGGUACCUGAUAAGAAAGCCCGGCUACUACGUGCAGCAGCCGCGGUAAUACGUAGGGGCAGCGUUGUCGGAUUAUUGGGGUAAGCGCGCGCAGGCGGUCUUUAAUCUGAGUUAAACCUGGGUCACCUGGAGGUC
This 386-nucleotide ribosomal RNA is filed under the name Paenibacillus sp. HN_R8. Its description in RNAcentral is "bacterial SSU rRNA". It matches the Rfam family "Bacterial small subunit ribosomal RNA", at positions 225 to 624 of the family's 1533-position model. Lineage: Bacteria; Bacillati; Bacillota; Bacilli; Caryophanales; Paenibacillaceae. The record is from RNAcentral.